CACGUGUGCACCACGAGUGACACACGUGUGUAACACGGGACCAAGUUUCAGUUGAAUUUGAGGAAAAGCGUUAGGGUUGCAUACUUAGAAUUGUAUGAAUUUUUAAUUCGUUGGUACUUGUUU
Molecule: long non-coding RNA, 123 nt
Organism: Haliotis rubra (blacklip abalone)
Lineage: Eukaryota; Metazoa; Mollusca; Gastropoda; Lepetellida; Haliotidae
Exons: 4
Source: RefSeq, a predicted model, not a curated record